CUCCUUCGCCAAAACUUGCCUCGGUUUCUCUCUCUGUCUUAUGCCCCUCAGUCGUAUUCUUUCUUCUGUGGAGGCAAGAGCUGAGGUUGCUGCAGACCUGCUAGCAAUUUCUCAGACUCCAAGUUUCCAGUCUUCCCUGGACAGCUUUCUUGACGUGUAGCCGCAGAAGCAGACGGCAAGCAGUCCCACGGUUUCCAACCCAGCACCACCGAGCAGAUAUAUAAAGGUAGGUUUGAGUUAUGCACGUCAGUCAGUUCCAUUAUUUUAUAAUUAAGCCACACUUUUUAUUUAAUUACUAUAUGCUCAAUUUAUCGAAUUUGAUUAAAUAACCUCUGAGUAUUAUCAAAAGAUAAAUCCACUUCCCAAAGAUACGGAUUUGUCACCAUGGAGGAGAUCCCAGUUUCAGACUACAUCUCUUUUCCAGGCAAAGUUUCAAAUUCUUUUCCUCAGGAGACAUCCAAAGAUGUCUUCAGAGAAAAGACCUGCAGAUACUGGCAUUAGGGGUUACAUAAAGAAAAAGAGCAGCUCCCUCCUGAGUUCCCUGGAGUGAGUUCCCGAAAACAGCCCAGAGUUUCCAAUCAGCAUCUUAGUGUCCAAGGACCAGCAGAUAACGUGAAAAAUUAUCCCAUGAUGAAAGAGUAAGUCAAUAAUAAAGCAAAAUGUGGGGACAGAGAUAAUUCAGGAAGCAGAAGAAAACUGAAAAAAAUGAGUGUAAAUUAUCAGAAAAAUAAAAACAAACUACUGAUAACAACAGGAAUGCCAUGAAAAAUGAACAAUUAGAAAACAGUGACAACUAGAACAAUUUAAAAAGUCCUUGAAAAUUAAGAAAAAAUUACGAUAGUCAAAAAUUCUAAUACAACAGGAAAAGUUUAGGAAAUCUGUCAAAAAAAAAAAAAAAAGAACAAGGAAAACUACAAGACAUGGAGAAUCAUUGCAAGAAAUUUCACUUUCUAGAAAAAAUGGCACAAGAGUGGGGAGACAGAAAAAACCUGGAGAAAAAGUUAUAAAAGCACUAAUACAGGAAAAUUUCCCCAAACUAAAAGACUUGAGUCCUCAAAAUCCUU
Molecule: long non-coding RNA, 1064 nt
Filed under: Macaca mulatta (Rhesus monkey)
Lineage: Eukaryota; Metazoa; Chordata; Mammalia; Primates; Cercopithecidae
Description: lncRNA (ENSMMUG00000057622.1)
Source: RNAcentral